CGGCCUCCACGCUGGCCUUCCGCGCCUUUCCUCCCUGCCCAUCGAAUCUUCCGCUCUGACGACAGAGUGCUCUUUUCCUGUUAAAAAUCCUUUACGAUACCCUUUGCCUUCCCGGCAAGGUCUGAACUUCUCGGCGUGUCGCAUAGCACCUGGGGCCACCAUCCCCUCUGUGCCCGUGGCUCCUGCCUGCACGGCCAGCUCCUCGCCAGUAACCGAAAGCCCCCCUCCCAGAGAGGCUCUUUCUCACCUUCCGGCCAGCAUCGCUUCCCCGGGAGCCUUUCUGGACCCCUAUCCCCCAAGACAGCCAGCUCUCCAGCCUCCCAGAGUGCUUGCCAACCCCUCUGAUAACAUAACACUCACGAUAAACCUGGUUAACAUUUAUUCAGAGCGCUGCUGAGUGCCAGACACGUCGCUUUGCACACAUCCUCUCUCUGAAUCCUCCUGGCAAGCCUAAGAGGUCCCUGAACUGUACUUAUUCCCAGUUUACUGGCGAGGAAACCGAGACUUGGAACAUCAUGUAACUUCCCCAAGGCCACUCAGCCAGAAAGCAGAAGAGUCUAGAACCCAGAUGUUUGGAAAGAAAACUCCUUAGUCAGCAGCCCUGGAAAGCUUCACAUUUAGAGAAAUCUAGACUCUUCUUUCCCACCCCAAGUUUCUUUGGUUUUGCGGCUGGAACCUAACAUCUGUGAAGCAGGCAGGACCUCAUGGGCCCUGUGUCACCAGACACCUGUUGACAGGAUGCCUUCAGGGGUAGAAAAUCUGGGCAGAGCCCAGCAGUGACAACUGGUAUUUAUCCAAUAUCAGCUUCCACCCACCAGGAGAUGGAUGGGCAACUGGCCCCAAGAGAGGAGCAAAGACGAGAAACGGCCAUCCGUCCUAACUCGGAUGCUGGUGGGGACACACCAGGAAUCCCUUUCCCGAAUGAAUGACAGGAGAGCCAAAGGUGCUUGAAGACAUGACGAUUUUCCCAGCUUAAGUGGAGCAUCUGCCACCGUGGUACCUCCAUGGAGCUGACCUCUGAGGAAAGGGUCCUUCCGGGUCCUUCCAGGCACUUUCAUAAAAGGCGACACUUGUCAGUGUGCCCAACUUUCAGUUACCUUGUGGUGUGCUUCUGAAGGAUUGCAAAAGAAGGGGAAGAGCCAUUAUUUUAAAUAAUCAUUUCAACAUGGAGCUUGGUGGGGAACAAAGAACGUACUUGGAGUUGCAGCUCGUGGGCCCUAGUGGCGCUUGGCUUUCCUCGUAGCUGCCCCCAAGCAUCACCAACCCACCACAGAGGAAGCCUGAGCCCUCGAGGGCCACAGACGACGUGGCUUGAACAUCGCUCCUAGGGGAGAAACAGGAAAGAGGCAACCAGAGUUUGAAUCCCGGCACUGCCACCUCAUAAGUGUGAGACUAUGAACCAGGCUGUAAGACGGGAUAGGAGUUAACGAAAAAGACACCAAAACAGGCUUCUUAGGAGAAUUAAAGAGAGAACUUGUGUUAAACACUUAGUGUGACAUUUGGAAAUACUAAAUGCUCGUCCUGGGAGCACAUUUGUGAGGCCUCAAAGCUGAAAGCUACUAGACUUUCUGCUCAGGAGCUCUCAGCCCAGUGCCAGCCACAUCCCUGGACCAGGCCACGGCCAAGCAAGACUUCAGCCUCCAGUGCGAGACAGGCCUUUCCCACAUUGUUGGGCUGAAGGAAGUGAAGUCUUCAACGAAGACAGUGAAACAGCUGAGGGAGGCGGAGCUGGGGGAGAAGAGGAGGAUCCAGAGGUCUGAGGGGUCCCCAUCACAGUGAAGAGCCCAGGCUUUGAAGUCUUGGCUCCAUCUCUGCUUAGCUAUGUGAUCUCGGGUCAGAUCCAUGCCCCCUCUAAGCCUCAGUGUGCACAGCUGUAAA
Molecule: long non-coding RNA, 1878 nt
Filed under: Equus caballus (horse)
Lineage: Eukaryota; Metazoa; Chordata; Mammalia; Perissodactyla; Equidae
Description: lncRNA (ENSECAG00000058898.1)
Source: RNAcentral